CCCUUAGAUGUCCUGGGCCGCACGCGCGCUACACUGAUGCAUUCAACGAGUUUUACCUUGGCCGAGAGGCCUGGGCAAUCUUUUAAACCUGCAUCGUGAUAGGGAUAGAUUAUUGCAAUUAUUAAUCUUGAACGAGGAAUUCCUAGUAAACGCAGAUCAUCAAUCUGCAUUGAUUACGUCCCUGCCCUUUGUACACACCGCCCGUCGCACCUACCGAUUGAAUGGUCCGGUGAAGCCUCGGGAUUGUGGCCAGUUCACUUUAUUGGGAGUUGGCUGCGAGAACUUGUCUAAACCUUAUCAUUUAGAGGAAGGAGAAGUCGUAACA
Molecule: ribosomal RNA, 325 nt
Filed under: uncultured eukaryote
Lineage: Eukaryota
Description: partial 18S ribosomal RNA
Rfam family: Eukaryotic small subunit ribosomal RNA
Source: RNAcentral